This 561-nucleotide unclassified non-coding RNA is filed under the name Hevea brasiliensis (rubber tree). The record is from RNAcentral. Lineage: Eukaryota; Viridiplantae; Streptophyta; Magnoliopsida; Malpighiales; Euphorbiaceae.
UUUCUUUGUGAAGGCUUUUAAUUCAGGUUGUGGAAUUGGAAGGGUUGCUACUAAAGAUGCAGACCCUCUGCUUUGAGAAGGUGUCCCAUCCUCCUCAUAAAGAUUCCACCCUGACAAUCCCACUGGCUCUGAUUCAACAUUUGUUUCUCUGCGCCCGCUUGAAAAUUUACUAGAACUAGAAUGGCUCUGAGAAAAUUUCAAGUCAUCAUCUAACUCAUAGCCCCUCUGCUUUUCUGCCUCUUCAAGACUGAGCAAUCGGGCAACCAUCAUUUCUCUACCACCAACAAGAGACAAUCCAUUAUGUCUACAACGUCUUUCAAGCUCAGCAAGAGGAAGACUCAUUAGUUCCUUCACAGCAGCUCCUUUGCCCAUUGCCAAUGCAGCAUCUUGGUUGAUCUUUCCUCCAUCACCUAUAUCUUCUGAGUUAAACUUUUUUUCUAUUUCUGGUGCAUCACCACAUAUAGAAUGAAAAGAGAUAACACCCGAAGUACUAGAACGUAGAAAGGUAGCCCGCAAUCCAUUCACAUAUGCAUCUGAAAAUAGAAACCAGUCUGACCAUAC